RNAcentral lists this microRNA (24 nucleotides) under Gyrodactylus salaris (gyrodactylosis fluke). Its description in RNAcentral is "gsa-miR-277a-3p". Its record names the gene gsa-miR-277a-3p. The record is from miRBase by way of RNAcentral. Lineage: Eukaryota; Metazoa; Platyhelminthes; Monogenea; Gyrodactylidea; Gyrodactylidae.
UAAAUGCAAAGUAUCUGGUAUCAU